Long non-coding RNA from Anolis carolinensis (green anole), 690 nucleotides. RefSeq lists it as uncharacterized. Lineage: Eukaryota; Metazoa; Chordata; Lepidosauria; Squamata; Anolidae. The record is from RefSeq and is a predicted model, not a curated record. The transcript is spliced from 2 exons.
ACUGGCUCCAGUGCUUCAUACUUUCAAUGACAGCAGAGAGAAUUCUCAGAGUGUUGCCUUUUUCUUUCAGCUUGGAGUAAAGCACCGGCCCUUUCUUUUGUAAGGAGACAAAGGAAAAGGUCAGAAUAGAUUCGGGUCCCCCAAGUGGCCAUGGUGUCCGGACUGACCUUCCGAGGAGGCGGAGCUUGCGUGGGCCAUACUUGUCCAUCACGAUGCCCAGUGGGAGGGUGAUGGCGCUCAGCAGGAAGGAGCCCACCGUGAAGGCCAGGUUCAACAUCUCGUCCUGCUCCUUGCAGAUCAGCCAGCCGUUCAUCCGGGUCACCGGCACCUCCUCCGCCAUGGCCACCCUCUCCGUCUGGUUGCUGUCACUGGAGCUUGCCCCAUCCAUGGCACUUGGGGAAGCAUUCGCUAUGGUGAGAAAUACAAGGAAUGGUCAGUGCAAGGACGGUGUAGUCAUAAAACUCAACUAGGGAGAUAAGUUUAUCCACAACCAGGGAAACUGUGACCACCACCAAUGAUGGGCCUGGUUCAAACUUGGCAUACAGAAUCCCCAUGACUAACUCAACCAACUCCCACGAUUCACCAUCGUGGGAGUUGUAGUUUACCCUACAUCAAGAGAGCAUACUGAACCCAACUGAUGAUGCAUCCAGAGCAAACUUGCCCAAUAAAACAAACUUUUGUACAGAUGGA